CCCUCUCAUCUCUUUCCCCAGUUAGGAACGAGCCUAUGAACAACAGUGAGACUGACAAACGCAGGCAGCAGCACUGGACAGCCAUGCAAGCGAAGACAGGGCCUUUAAACAACAGUGAGACGGACUACCACAGAAGGCAGCACUAGACAGCCAUUGCCAGCGAAGGAAUUAUAUUUUAUGCAGUGCUGGUGAAAUGGACAAUCAGACAUGUCAGCUGUUGUUUCAUUGGAUGUCUUGUGGAAUCUGUCCAUUCUUUUGAAAUAAUGUGGAUUGUGCUACAUGUCCAGGCCUGCUCUGAAAUUAAAUAGGUAUGAUAUCAGGCUCCUAUUGCACAGCAAUACUGUAGCCUACCCAUACUGUAAAAUAUUUUGUUAUAUUUACAGGUCUAUUUUACUUUCGAGCAUGGUUGGCUAUUGAAUGAGCGAUGUUAAGACAGUACACAUAUUUUCCCAGGUUUUUAAGUCCGCCUCCCCCCCCCAUUAAAUCAAGUUAAGGAGGAAACCAAUGUCUUUGCAGCCUGACUUGAGGAUGUUUUAUGUACGAACCGGACGCGGGGGUUAGGAGUGUAUUGCACAAGGCCAGACGAUGUAAACUUUGGCGAACAGUUGGGUUUGGCGGAACCUUUGGGGCUAGUAGAUAGCUGUACAAAACACAAGUUACACACACAUUUUAAAA
This is a long non-coding RNA of Oncorhynchus masou masou (cherry salmon), 675 nucleotides long. RefSeq lists it as uncharacterized. Lineage: Eukaryota; Metazoa; Chordata; Actinopteri; Salmoniformes; Salmonidae. The record is from RefSeq and is a predicted model, not a curated record. The transcript has 3 exons.